RNAcentral lists this unclassified non-coding RNA (434 nucleotides) under soil metagenome. Its description in RNAcentral is "partial contains 5.8S ribosomal RNA, internal transcribed spacer 2, and large subunit ribosomal RNA". The stretch from base 1 to 121 matches the Rfam family "5.8S ribosomal RNA", at positions 35 to 154 of the family's 154-position model. The record is from RNAcentral.
GAUGAAGAAACGUAGCGAAAUGCGAUACGUAAUGUGAAUUGCAGAAUUCAGUGAAUCAUCGAAUCUUUGAACGCAUAUUGCGCUCUCUGGUAUUCCGGAGAGCAUGCUUGUUUGAGUAUCAGUAAACACCUCAACUUCCAUAUCUUUUUUGAAAUGGGAGUUGGACUUGAGUGAUCCCAACGCUUUUCCUCACCGAAAAGUGGCGGGUUACUUGAAAUGCAGGUGCAGCUGGACUUUUCUCUGAGCUAUAAGCAUAUCUAUUUAGUCUGCCUAAAAAACAGAUUAUUACCUUUGCUGCAGCUAACAUAAAGGAGAUUAGUUCUUGUGCUGACUGAUGCAGGAUUCACAAAGACAGGCUUCGGCCGACUUUGUAAACUCGAUCUCAAAUCAAGUAAGACUACCCGCUGAACUUAAGCAUAUCAAUAAGCGGAGGA